RNAcentral lists this long non-coding RNA (3453 nucleotides) under Nicotiana benthamiana. RNAcentral describes it as "long non-coding RNA (NBEN_LNC029589)". Lineage: Eukaryota; Viridiplantae; Streptophyta; Magnoliopsida; Solanales; Solanaceae. The record is from RNAcentral.
CCUAAGGCAUGAUUUCUAAAUGUGCACAAGAGUUGCAGAAUUAUUGAAAUGUGACUUUUGAAGGUACAAGAGUAACAUGUUUUAUGCCAAUGUUGUUAUUGCCCAAAGAGCAGGAUUUCUACCUGAUAGACAUAAACCAUGGAUUAGUGAUGGAUGAGAUGUUAAAGCAAGAAACAUAGGUCCUAAGAGCAUAAUUUAUAAUUCAUGUAUGAAUCCUGAGCAUGGUUUCUAUUGCACAAUUAGGAAUAUAAUCCUAAUAACAUGGUUUCUACCCUUAACAACUAUAACAUGCAUAUUUACCCCAACCUUUUUCACUAGCCAAUCCAAUACUUGCUAACAACAAGUUAUUACAGACCAGCAUUUAUGUGACUUACAUAAGAAGAAAUGAAAAUAAGAAGUUACACUAUAGGAAGCCUAAUUAGAACUUCCUCCCUGAGUUACGAAAUAAACCACCUCAAGUGCCAAGAUUGUUCUAUAGCCUUUCUCAUACCUGGGUGUGUCAGAGUUUCCUACGGACCUCAAGGGAUCCUUGGCAGUUCUCACACCCAGAUUGCAUAACCAAGGCAGAGUAAGUGUGGUGUGGAAAGGCCAGUUUUUAUGCGUCCAAGUUCAGAGGGACCGCAAGGGUCCCAAGGCAAGGCUUACACAAAAUAGGCAGAACCUAGUAGUCUAAGAGUAUAUGUGAGAGUGCUUGACAUAGAUUUAAAAGAGUUAGAGUUGGAAAAUAAUUUUGAAAUAGCGUGUUUGAAAUGUUUGCAAAACAACAGAAGAAUUGCAUAGGGAAAAACAGUUUGGAAAGGAGGUGAGAAAAAGAGCAACAACAAUUUGGAACAAACCAGCACACACAAAACAAAUCCAAAGCAUAGUACCAUUCCAACAUUCACAAGCAGGGAAAUAAGGGGUUGGGGACAUAGAGGACCCAAGUCAGAAACACAUAAACAUGGCUGAGAAGAGAUACAUAUAGACCAGCAAGUAGAAAAAACAAGUAGGGACUGAUUGGCCUUUAGAACACAAAGAAUUACGUUAAAGAGUUAACAAGGGAAUCAUGCUUAAAAUUAGAAUAGUAAUAAGACAUAGGGACAUGGUAUAGGAGUAGUCAUUGUCACACCCCCCUUUUUCGCACCCCGAUGGCGCAAGGGAGUUUUUCCAAUUAAAGGACAAUCGAAUGAAAUUUGCUUAUUUAUUUCACAGUCGCCACUUGGGAGAUUUAGGGUGUCCCAAGUCACCAGUUUUAAUCCCGAAUCGAGGAAAGGAAUUGACUCUAAAUUACAGUUUGCGUACCAGAUAUCCGGAUAAGAAAUUCUGUUAACCCGGGAGAAGGUGUUAGGCAUUCCCGAGUUUUGUGGUUCUAGCACAGUAGCUCAACUGUUAUAUUCAACUUAUUUACCUGAUUUUUACAUGUUGUAACUUAUGUGCCGAUUUUAACUUUUGACCGCUUUUAUUCAAUUUAUUACAGGAAAUUGAACGUCGUCUGAAACAUAUCUUUGGAUUGUGCCGCAUGAAAUGAACCCGCAAUCCUAAACACGUCCGAUUCGAUAUUUUGAGAUUUGGAUUUGGGUCGCAUGAAAUGUACACGUGAGUUUAGGGAAGAUAACGUUAUUAUUUUGGGGAAGAUUGUGCAAUUAUCUAAACGGCCCAUCCGGACUCUAAAUAUUUAAAUAUAUACAUUUAUUGAGGGCUCCACAACUUAUAUGUAUUUUUAUUGGGCGAUGCUCGUCUCAUUUUUAUUAUUUAAAAGGACAAAUCCAAAACAACUACAGUAUUAAUAAAUUAUUCUUUUGAAGACUACUACAAGAUUAUUGCAAGGCUUAACAGUUAUGGAAUGAGAUGACACUUACUUUAUUUGCAUUUUUCGUAAGAUCCAUUUAAAACGACCCAGUACAAUACCACUCAGUGGUGUCUGGGGAGGGUAGUGUGUACGCAGCCUUACCCGAAAUUAACUCGUGUUUCUUCCCACCAAAUAACAACAACAACUACCCAGUAUACUCCCACCAGGUGGGGUCUGGAAAGUACGACCCAGUACAAUACCACUCAGUGGUGUCUGUGGAGGGUAGUGUGUACGCAGCCUUCCCCCUUCCCUGGGGUAGAUAGGCUGUUUCCAAAUAGACCCCCGGCAUAAAUCCCCAGAAUUUGCUCCUGGGGAGACUCGAACUCACAACCUCUCGGUUGUAAGAUCCAUUGUCUUUUUUAUAUAAAUCUAAUUCUCCGAACAUUUACUACUACUUCUACUUCCCAAUUCAAGUCCAUAUUUUAAAAAAAGUUCUAUCUCAGUGAGUGGCUAACCAAACUUAGCCGCAAACUUCAAUUAUAAAAAGUAGGAUUAGGAACGAGAUUCUAGGAAACAUUAAUCGUUAUGAACACAAACUAACAGAGAUUAAUCUAAUAGUCAUAAAUCACAACGAGAAUCUAGGAAAACAUUAAUCAUCAAGCAAAAUGGAUAAAAUAAUUGAGAUAACAAACUAGAAAAAUGCUAGCACCACACUUAUGACCACAAACUAUAGCAAACAAUUUAGCCUAAAAUAUUUGUCAAAAUAAUCAAUGAAACAAUAAACCAAUCAUAGAUCCAUCCAGAGAAGAUAGAUAGCAAAAAAAAUUCAACCUUAUAGCAAACAUAAUAUGGAUUGAAAUUCGAGAACUGGAGAACAAGAAAUUGACCUUUUAAUAGCUAAAUAUUCUUCGAUAUAUCAGAAAAACCUACUGUAAAGCUGUAUGAACUAACCACGACCGGAAGCGACACCGAGAAAAUCAAACAAGAUAUCGGACGGACCUCGACGGACUCAACCUCGGAACCGCUGAACAUCAGUUGAUUUCGAGGUUGUUUUCGGCUAUUUUUCCAGCUGAUUUUGGACUAUCUUUGGUGGGUUUUUGGAGAGGAGGGGGACUGGUUCUUUAGAAUGGAGAAGAAUAAGAACCGUCAAGAGGGUCGUCCCUCACUGCCCCUGUAUAUCCUGUAUAUACGGAAUGUAUAUCCAGUGUAUACCCCGUCUCCCAGGUCCCCGACACCGAGAAAAUCAAACAAGAUAUCGAACGGACCUCGACGGCCUCAACCUCAGAACCGCUGGACAUCGGUUGAUUUCGAGGUUGUUUUCGGCUAUUUUUCCAGCUGAUUUUGGACUAUUUUUGGUGCGUUUUUGGAGAGGAGGGGGACUGGUUUUUUAGAAUGGAAAAGAAUAAGAACCGUCAAGAGGGUCGUCCCUCACUGCCCCUGUAUAUCCUAUGUAUACGGAAUGUAUAUCCAGUGUAUACCCCGUCUCCCAGGCCCCUUUUCUUUUCCUCUCUCAAAUCUGAAUCCUUCUAUUAUGUCCAUGUAUUCUAAGUCUAGGGGAAUGGUUGGGUAUGUGGAAAGUGGUUGGGGUAGGUAGAAAAAUGAUUGGAUAGUUAUGGACUAGGUUCGAGAAUUAUGUCUAAAAAUGGUCAUUUGAACCCAAAUGUUAUUUCUUUCCUGGAAAGGAG